AGCUUCAUUCACACCUUUACAAUCAAGAUGAUGUUCAGACUGUCUGUUCUGCUGGCAGUGAUCUGUCUGCCAUGUUCUAGCAGCCAGUCCAUGGAGUCCAUUCCUUCCACCUCAGUGGUGAAAAGGCCUCAGGAAGUUCUGAGUCUGUCCUGCAGAGGAUCUGGAUUUGAUUUCAGUCAAUAUGGAAUGAACUGGAUCAGACAACCAGCAGGAAAAACACUGGAAUGGAUGGGAGCUAUUUCAGAUGAUGGAAGUAACACAGCUUAUUCAAGCAGAGUUGAUGGACGUAUAGAAAUCACCAGAGAAAACAGCAACAGCCUGGUGCAUCUGAAACUGUCUAACCUGAAGCCAGAGGACUCUGCUGUGUAUUACUGUGCUAGAAACGCACAGUGAUCAAUGUACCUGCAGAGGCUGUACAAAAACUCUUCACACAGCAGAAGACAGAGGUGAUGAGCUCUCUACACAGAAGCUGAUGGUAGUUUGUGAUUUCCUGUUUUUCAAGCUUUUUUCUGUAAAAUAUUUUGUUUCACAGAAAAAAAAAUAGUUUUUCCUAUUCCACUGGCUUUCAGAGAAUGUUUAACAAUGGAUCAGAGAGAAAAUCUUUGAUAAAAAUAAACAAACUAACAAAGUUUUAAUUAUUGUAUUUUUUUCACUCUUCCAAACUCUGCUUCCCUCCUUCCAGUUUGAUUCUUCAGUCUCAAACCUCAUGUCCUCAUUCACGUCUCCUCUGCCUCCUUGUGAUGGUUAAACUGAUUUAUCAUUCAGGAUUUUUGUUUCUAGAUCUAUUAUUGGUGCAGCCAAAACCCACAGUCUGUAA
Molecule: non-coding RNA, 817 nt
Organism: Poecilia latipinna (sailfin molly)
Lineage: Eukaryota; Metazoa; Chordata; Actinopteri; Cyprinodontiformes; Poeciliidae
Source: the annotation of a RefSeq genome assembly